UCUCUGGCAGUCCAGUGGUUAAGACUUGGCACUUUCACUGCCUGGGCCCAGGUUCAAUCCUUGGUCAGGGAA
Non-coding RNA from Bos taurus (domestic cattle), 72 nucleotides. The record is from Rfam. NCBI's taxonomy places the organism in Eukaryota, Metazoa, Chordata, Mammalia, Artiodactyla, Bovidae.